CCAUUACCUAGAGUAAUUAAGAUCCCUCAGAGACGAUGAGGUUGAUAGGUCUGAGGUGGAAGCGUGGUGACACGUGGAGCUGACAGAUACUAAUGGAUCGAAGACUUAUCUAU
RNAcentral lists this ribosomal RNA (113 nucleotides) under Halobacillus salinus. Its description in RNAcentral is "Bacterial large subunit ribosomal RNA". It matches the Rfam family "Bacterial large subunit ribosomal RNA", at positions 2814 to 2925 of the family's 2925-position model. The record is from Rfam by way of RNAcentral. Lineage: Bacteria; Bacillati; Bacillota; Bacilli; Caryophanales; Bacillaceae.